This 52-nucleotide microRNA precursor is filed under the name Felis catus (domestic cat). Its description in RNAcentral is "mir-1302 microRNA precursor family". The record is from Rfam by way of RNAcentral. Lineage: Eukaryota; Metazoa; Chordata; Mammalia; Carnivora; Felidae. RNAcentral also lists the same sequence under 2 other names.
UUUUUAGUACAGGUGUGUCCCAUGCAACAUUUGGGACAUACUUAAACUAAAA